CAACACUCAAGCUCUGCUUGGUAUUGGGCCCUGCCAGCAACGGCAGGCCUUAAAAUCAGUGGCGGCGCCAUCUGGCUCUAAGCGUAGUAAUACUCCUCGCUACAGAGUCCUGGUGGAUGCUUGCCAGCAACCCCCAACUUUCUAA
Molecule: unclassified non-coding RNA, 145 nt
Filed under: uncultured Xenopolyscytalum
Lineage: Eukaryota; Fungi; Ascomycota; Leotiomycetes; Helotiales
Description: partial internal transcribed spacer 2
Source: RNAcentral